GGGUUGUGAGGUUAAGCGACUAAGCGUACACGGUGGAUGCCCUGGCAGUCAGAGGCGAUGAAGGACGUGCUAAUCUGCGAUAAGCGUCGGUAAGGUGAUAUGAACCGUUAUAACCGGCGAUUUCCGAAUGGGGAAACCCAGUGUGUUUCGACACACUAUCAUUAACUGAAUCCAUAGGUUAAUGAGGCGAACCGGGGGAACUGAAACAUCUAAGUACCCCGAGGAAAAGAAAUCAACCGAGAUUCCCCCAGUAGCGGCGAGCGAACGGGGAGGAGCCCAGAGCCUGAAUCAGUGUGUGUGUUAGUGGAAGCGUCUGGAAAGGCGCGCGAUACAGGGUGACAGCCCCGUACACAAAAAUGCACAUGCUGUGAGCUCGAUGAGUAGGGCGGGACACGUGGUAUCCUGUCUGAAUAUGGGGGGACCAUCCUCCAAGGCUAAAUACUCCUGACUGACCGAUAGUGAACCAGUACCGUGAGGGAAAGGCGAAAAGAACCCCGGCGAGGGGAGUGAAAAAGAACCUGAAACCGUGUACGUACAAGCAGUGGGAGCACAGAGCAAUCUGUGUGACUGCGUACCUUUUGUAUAAUGGGUCAGCGACUUAUAUUCUGUAGCAAGGUUAACCGAAUAGGGGAGCCGAAGGGAAACCGAGUCUUAACUGGGCGUUAAGUUGCAGGGUAUAGACCCGAAACCCGGUGAUCUAGCCAUGGGCAGGUUGAAGGUUGGGUAACACUAACUGGAGGACCGAACCGACUAAUGUUGAAAAAUUAGCGGAUGACUUGUGGCUGGGGGUGAAAGGCCAAUCAAACCGGGAGAUAGCUGGUUCUCCCCGAAAGCUAUUUAGGUAGCGCCUCGUGAAUUCAUCUCCGGGGGUAGAGCACUGUUUCGGCAAGGGGGUCAUCCCGACUUACCAACCCGAUGCAAACUGCGAAUACCGGAGAAUGUUAUCACGGGAGACACACGGCGGGUGCUAACGUCCGUCGUGAAGAGGGAAACAACCCAGACCGCCAGCUAAGGUCCCAAAGUCAUGGUUAAGUGGGAAACGAUGUGGGAAGGCCCAGACAGCCAGGAUGUUGGCUUAGAAGCAGCCAUCAUUUAAAGAAAGCGUAAUAGCUCACUGGUCGAGUCGGCCUGCGCGGAAGAUGUAACGGGGCUAAACCAUGCACCGAAGCUGCGGCAGCGACACUGUGUGUUGUUGGGUAGGGGAGCGUUCUGUAAGCCUGUGAAGGUGUGCUGUGAGGCAUGCUGGAGGUAUCAGAAGUGCGAAUGCUGACAUAAGUAACGAUAAAGCGGGUGAAAAGCCCGCUCGCCGGAAGACCAAGGGUUCCUGUCCAACGUUAAUCGGGGCAGGGUGAGUCGACCCCUAAGGCGAGGCCGAAAGGCGUAGUCGAUGGGAAACAGGUUAAUAUUCCUGUACUUGGUGUUACUGCGAAGGGGGGACGGAGAAGGCUAUGUUGGCCGGGCGACGGUUGUCCCGGUUUAAGCGUGUAGGCUGGUUUUCCAGGCAAAUCCGGAAAAUCAAGGCUGAGGCGUGAUGACGAGGCACUACGGUGCUGAAGCAACAAAUGCCCUGCUUCCAGGAAAAGCCUCUAAGCAUCAGGUAACAUCAAAUCGUACCCCAAACCGACACAGGUGGUCAGGUAGAGAAUACCAAGGCGCUUGAGAGAACUCGGGUGAAGGAACUAGGCAAAAUGGUGCCGUAACUUCGGGAGAAGGCACGCUGAUAUGUAGGUGAAGUCCCUCGCGGAUGGAGCUGAAAUCAGUCGAAGAUACCAGCUGGCUGCAACUGUUUAUUAAAAACACAGCACUGUGCAAACACGAAAGUGGACGUAUACGGUGUGACGCCUGCCCGGUGCCGGAAGGUUAAUUGAUGGGGUCAGCGCAAGCGAAGCUCUUGAUCGAAGCCCCGGUAAACGGCGGCCGUAACUAUAACGGUCCUAAGGUAGCGAAAUUCCUUGUCGGGUAAGUUCCGACCUGCACGAAUGGCGUAAUGAUGGCCAGGCUGUCUCCACCCGAGACUCAGUGAAAUUGAACUCGCUGUGAAGAUGCAGUGUACCCGCGGCAAGACGGAAAGACCCCGUGAACCUUUACUAUAGCUUGACACUGAACAUUGAGCCUUGAUGUGUAGGAUAGGUGGGAGGCUUUGAAGUGUGGACGCCAGUCUGCAUGGAGCCGACCUUGAAAUACCACCCUUUAAUGUUUGAUGUUCUAACGUGGACCCGUGAUCCGGGUUGCGGACAGUGUCUGGUGGGUAGUUUGACUGGGGCGGUCUCCUCCUAAAGAGUAACGGAGGAGCACGAAGGUUGGCUAAUCCUGGUCGGACAUCAGGAGGUUAGUGCAAUGGCAUAAGCCAGCUUGACUGCGAGCGUGACGGCGCGAGCAGGUGCGAAAGCAGGUCAUAGUGAUCCGGUGGUUCUGAAUGGAAGGGCCAUCGCUCAACGGAUAAAAGGUACUCCGGGGAUAACAGGCUGAUACCGCCCAAGAGUUCAUAUCGACGGCGGUGUUUGGCACCUCGAUGUCGGCUCAUCACAUCCUGGGGCUGAAGUAGGUCCCAAGGGUAUGGCUGUUCGCCAUUUAAAGUGGUACGCGAGCUGGGUUUAGAACGUCGUGAGACAGUUCGGUCCCUAUCUGCCGUGGGCGCUGGAGAACUGAGGGGGGCUGCUCCUAGUACGAGAGGACCGGAGUGGACGCAUCACUGGUGUUCGGGUUGUCAUGCCAAUGGCACUGCCCGGUAGCUAAAUGCGGAAGAGAUAAGUGCUGAAAGCAUCUAAGCACGAAACUUGCCCCGAGAUGAGUUCUCCCUGACUCCUUGAGAGUCCUGAAGGAACGUUGAAGACGACGACGUUGAUAGGCCGGGUGUGUAAGCGCAGCGAUGCGUUGAGCUAACCGGUACUAAUGAACCGUGAGGCUUAACCUUACAACGCCGAAGGUGUUU
Molecule: ribosomal RNA, 2932 nt
Filed under: Escherichia coli O55:H7
Lineage: Bacteria; Pseudomonadati; Pseudomonadota; Gammaproteobacteria; Enterobacterales; Enterobacteriaceae
Also listed under: 1 other name
Description: 23S ribosomal RNA
Rfam family: Bacterial large subunit ribosomal RNA
Source: RNAcentral